AGGAUGAACGCUGGCGGCGUGCCUAAUACAUGCAAGUCGAGCGGUAAGGCCACUUCGGUGGUACACGAGCGGCGGACGGCUGAGUAACACGUAGGAACGUACCCCAAAGUGAGGCAUAAGCACCAGAAAUGGUGUCUAAUACCGCAUGUGGCCUAACAGGCUAAAGCUCCGGCGCUUUGGGAACGGCCUGCGCAUGAUUAGCUUGUUGGUGAGGUAAAAGCUCACCAAGGCGACGACGGGUA
RNAcentral lists this ribosomal RNA (242 nucleotides) under uncultured bacterium. Its description in RNAcentral is "partial small subunit ribosomal RNA". It matches the Rfam family "Bacterial small subunit ribosomal RNA", at positions 26 to 285 of the family's 1533-position model. The record is from RNAcentral.